Non-coding RNA from Macaca mulatta (Rhesus monkey), 99 nucleotides. NCBI's taxonomy places the organism in Eukaryota, Metazoa, Chordata, Mammalia, Primates, Cercopithecidae. The record is from Rfam.
AUCUACAACCAUAUCACCCUGAUCCCAGAAGCUAAGCAAGGUCGGCCUCAGACAGGACUUGGAUGGGAAACCGCCUGGGAAUACUGGAGGUGGUAGGCU